This 762-nucleotide ribosomal RNA is filed under the name Microbacteriaceae bacterium. RNAcentral's name for it is "bacterial SSU rRNA". It matches the Rfam family "Bacterial small subunit ribosomal RNA", at positions 42 to 813 of the family's 1533-position model. The record is from RNAcentral. Lineage: Bacteria; Bacillati; Actinomycetota; Actinomycetes; Micrococcales; Microbacteriaceae.
GCGUGCUUAACACAUGCAAGUCGAUCGGUGAACUUGGGAGCUUGCUCCUGGGGGAUCAGUGGCGAACGGGUGAGUAACACGUGAGCAAUCUGCCCUUGACUCUGGGAUAAGCGUUGGAAACGACGUCUAAUACCGGAUACGACCAUCCCCGGCAUCGGGAGGUGGUGGAAAGAAUUUUGGUCAAGGAUGAGCUCGCGGCCUAUCAGCUUGUUGGUGAGGUAAUGGCUCACCAAGGCGACGACGGGUAGCCGGCCUGAGAGGGUGACCGGCCACACUGGGACUGAGACACGGCCCAGACUCCUACGGGAGGCAGCAGUGGGGAAUAUUGCACAAUGGGCGCAAGCCUGAUGCAGCAACGCCGCGUGAGGGACGACGGCCUUCGGGUUGUAAACCUCUUUUAGCAGGGAAGAAGCGAAAGUGACGGUACCUGCAGAAAAAGCACCGGCUAACUACGUGCCAGCAGCCGCGGUAAUACGUAGGGUGCAAGCGUUGUCCGGAAUUAUUGGGCGUAAAGAGCUCGUAGGCGGUUUGUCGCGUCUGCUGUGAAAUCCCGAGGCUCAACCUCGGGCCUGCAGUGGGUACGGGCAGACUAGAGUGCGGUAGGGGAGAUUGGAAUUCCUGGUGUAGCGGUGGAAUGCGCAGAUAUCAGGAGGAACACCGAUGGCGAAGGCAGAUCUCUGGGCCGUAACUGACGCUGAGGAGCGAAAGCGUGGGGAGCGAACAGGAUUAGAUACCCUGGUAGUCCACGCCGUAAACGUUGGG